GUGCUGCUCUCGAGACCUGCUUUAAAUUUCUCCACGUGGAAAUGGGGAUACAGUAGCUGGAAUCGAGUGUGUUUUCAGCCUCCCCAGGACAUUCUGCACAGGAAGCUGUUCCCAUCUCCUCUGUUUGGCUGCUCCACAACUGUAGGAUUUCCUUUCCUGAGAGAUUCACCAAAGUUUGAACCAGUAUAUUUUGAGGACGAAUUGUAAGACCUUAACUGGAUUAUCUUAAAUAUGGAGCACUAAGAACCAGAGAUAUAGUUUAUUAAAUGUGUAAUUUUACUUUUGCUGGCCUUGUUCUAUCGAUAUUCUAGAACUAGGUCUCAAACACAUGCAGAUGGUUUCGUUUAUCAUCAGUGACAAUGUAAUCUUAAACAUGUCUGCUUAGAAAUAUGUGAGACUGAUUCCAAGUGAUGCAUUUUUACACACACACAUAACAAGUACCUGGGAGUUGGUCCCAUUGAACUCAAUGGUGCUUGCUUAUGAGUGGACACACAUAUAGGACUGAGUGGUUAACAUUUUGAUAUUUUAUGACUUGGAGCCAAACAAAGACAUUAAAUGAAUCUAUUGAAAGUGUUGAAAGAGGUGAUAUGAGGCGAUGUAACAGUUCUGUUUAUGGUGUUGGGUCUGUGAGGGUUUCGUUCAUUCAGGUUAUCAAGCGAUGAAAAUACAUUAGUCAACUAGCCCUUACUUGAGUUGCUCACCUGAAACCAAUAUGGAACAGGUCAGAAACAUAAAUCAUUACACAUGAAACUAAAUAACUAGCCAUCACCAAGUAUGCCCAUGUUCUAAGUAAUGCAUCCUUGCCCUAUAAAACAAAUAUAAAAUCAUACCCCUUCAUGCAUAAAGCUACCACCUAAAAACUCAAGUUUAUAGGCCAUAUUCUCAAAUGCCUGUUGUUUUACUAUAGGUACAGAUUGAUGGUGUAUACGGAAUUUGUCCCUGAUACUGAACUGGUUGUUCAUGUUUUACACCGUGUCAUCUUUGGGACCAGCCACCUCUGAUUCUAACUUUCCUUGCAUAUUCUGUUUAUGACAUUCUGUAAAUGUUGACAUUUUGGGGUCAAUAUAUUUUGCAAAAUAAAAACAAGUAGAUGUGGUAGUUACAUGUGAAAACAAAACAAAUAUUGUAUGUGAUAUGUGUGCAUAUUUUAUGGGGCAAAAGGAAAUAUUUUUGAAGCUAAUUUCAGAAAUGAUUUGAGACAUGCCACUGAGCCACAAAUAAAUUAUAUUUAAAAUUA
Long non-coding RNA from Podarcis raffonei (Aeolian wall lizard), 1237 nucleotides. RefSeq lists it as uncharacterized. The record is from RefSeq and is a predicted model, not a curated record. The transcript is spliced from 2 exons. NCBI's taxonomy places the organism in Eukaryota, Metazoa, Chordata, Lepidosauria, Squamata, Lacertidae.